Non-coding RNA from Phrynosoma platyrhinos (Desert horned lizard), 72 nucleotides. The record is from the annotation of a GenBank genome assembly. NCBI's taxonomy places the organism in Eukaryota, Metazoa, Chordata, Lepidosauria, Squamata, Phrynosomatidae.
UCCAGUGUGGCAUAGGGGUUUGAGUGUUGGACUACAACUCUUGAAACCAGGGCUCAAUUCCCUGCUCUGCCA